UGUAGUAAAAGCCCACCCCCGCGGCUACCUCAGGCGGGCGGCCCGACGGGGGGGAGGGGGCUGAAGGUUGGAUUCGGUGCCGCCUGCCGGUGGGCCCGGCUCCUGCAUUAGGCGCGGCCCCCCGGGGAAUUGGCUCCGUUGGGGGCUGAGCCGGCCACGCGCAGGGCCGGGCCGGGCCUCCCCUGGGAUCUGUUCUGGGGCCGCUUGGCUUCAGCACCUUCCUCAGUGAUGUAGAGACUGGUGUAGCCAGCGCGUAUAACGUUUGGGGACGAUACCAAGCUGGAAGGGGGUGCAAGCGCUUUGCAGUAAGUUUCCUGUGACACCCUGUACAAUGCAGUGCUGUAGAUCCUGCAAGGGACUCAAGUGAAACCACGCAAGUUUGUGGAAACUGUGGAGCUGCUGAUCAGCCUGAAAAAACUAUGACCCACAGAAGGACAAACAUUUCUGGCACAGUCUGGCUUGGCACCUCUCUGAUUCCACCCAGCCUUUGGCCUGCAACCUUCUCCCUCCAGGCACUUUGAAUGUACAUGUGGUUGGCAACACGUUGACUGCUUGAUACAAUGGCAGGAGGGUGCAGUGCUGAAUUGCCCGGGUAGUUCAUACACCCCCCGUCUCCAAGUGGUAUGGCUGGACAGACCCCUAUCCUGGGUCUUAAAAUGUGAGCGGAGAUGUGGUGAGGCUCCUGUGCUGAUCCCUCUGACCAGUUGGAGAAGCCAGAUUAGAGGCAGGUGGAUAAAGAUUCACAGCUAAGAAGUACAGUGCCUUUCUGGCUUCAGAGUCCCUCCCAUCAGAGUCCUGAUCAGAUUCCUCUCAUCUUGGGUCAGGGUCUGAACAAAGCUGCCAAGUUCCCCUCCCUCUUUGCUCACAAUGAAAACAUGGUAGCCGAGGUCAAUGAAGUCCAGUCUAUCAUCAAAUGAAAAAGAUGCAAGUUAAGGGGCCUGAACUUGGAAAAUGCUGAGGGCUCUUGAUGUUCACUGAAGUCAGUGGGAAUUAAGGACAUGCGCAGCACCUGGCAUGAUUGGCUCCUGCAGUUAGGGAGGAUCAAGUGGUCAAGCUUCAGAUAGCCAGGAAUUAGGAAAAUAGGUGCUUUGUCUGGCAGUGGCUGUUGGCCAUGUAAAAAUGACUGAAGAUGAGCUAGUCUACAACUUUCACUUGGCCAUCGACUUCCUGGUGUUCUUGCUGAAGAACUGUCAGAAUGUGCAUGUUGUACAUCAAGAGUACCAUGGGGAAACCACAGCGUCUCUACUAAACUGGCAGUAAUAAAUGUUUCAGAGCACCCAGUCA
Molecule: long non-coding RNA, 1284 nt
Organism: Mauremys reevesii (Reeves's turtle)
Lineage: Eukaryota; Metazoa; Chordata; Testudines; Geoemydidae
Exons: 6
Source: RefSeq, a predicted model, not a curated record